ACUCCUACGGGAGGCAGCAGUGGGGAAUAUUGCACAAUGGGGGAAACCCUGAUGCAGCCAUGCCGCGUGUGUGAAGAAGGCCUUCGGGUUGUAAAGCACUUUCAGUAGGGAGGAAGGUAGUGUAGUUAACACCUGCAUUAUUUGACGUUACCUACAGAAGAAGCACCGGCUAACUCCGUGCCAGCAGCCGCGGUAAUACGGAGGGUGCGAGCGUUAAUCGGAAUUACUGGGCGUAAAGCGCAUGCAGGCGGCCUGUUAAGUCAGAUGUGAAAGCCCGGGGUCUUAACCUCGGAAUUGCAUUUGAAACUGGCAGGCUAGAGUCUUGUAGAGGGGUUAGAAUUUCAGGUGUAGCGGUGAAAUGCGUAGAGAUCUGAAGGAAUACCAGUGGCGAAGGCGGCCCCUGGACAAAGACUGACGCUCAGAUGCGAAAGCGUGGGAGCAAACAGGAUUAGAUACCCCUGGUAGCGACUGA
This 472-nucleotide ribosomal RNA is filed under the name uncultured bacterium. RNAcentral's name for it is "bacterial SSU rRNA". It matches the Rfam family "Bacterial small subunit ribosomal RNA", at positions 335 to 803 of the family's 1533-position model. The record is from RNAcentral.